This 1957-nucleotide ribosomal RNA is filed under the name marine sediment metagenome. Its description in RNAcentral is "bacterial LSU rRNA". It matches the Rfam family "Bacterial large subunit ribosomal RNA", at positions 3 to 1988 of the family's 2925-position model. The record is from RNAcentral.
UCAAGUGACUAAGCGCACAUGGUGGAUGCCUAGGCAGUAAGAGGCGAUGAAGGACGUAGUAAUCUGCGAUAAGCCCUGGUUAGCUGAUAAACACGCUUACCCAGGGAUUUCCGAAUGGGGAAACCCACUCUGUUUACAGAGUAUCCAUAGCUGAAUACAUAGGUUAUGGAGGCGAACGCGGUGAACUGAAACAUCUAAGUAACCGUAGGAAAAGAAAUCAACCGAGAUUCCCUUAGUAGCGGCGAGCGAAAGGGGAACAGCCCAGUUGCCAUCAAGCAAACAACUCUAGUGGAACGAUCUGGAAAGUUCGGCCAUAGACGGUGAUAGCCCCGUACACGAAAGAUGAGUUUGUGGAGCAACAAAGAGUAGGUCGGGGCACGAGAAACCUUGACUGAACAUGGGGGGACCAUCCUCCAAGGCUAAAUACUCCUUACUGACCGAUAGUGAACUAGUACCGUGAGGGAAAGGCGAAAAGAACCCCGGAGAGGGGAGUGAAAUAGAACCUGAAACCGUGUGCGUACAAGCAGUGGGAGCCCUUUAUGGGUGACUGCGUACCUUUUGUAUAAUGGGUCAGCGAGUUGUUUUUUGUUGCAAGCUUAACCACAUAGGGAAGGCGUAGGGAAACCGAGUCUGAAUAGGGCGAUUUAGUAGCAAGGAGCAGACCCGAAACCGGACGAUCUAUCCAUGGUCAGGGUGAAGGCAGGGUAAUACCUGCUGGAGGCCCGAACCGGGUAAUGUUGAAAAAUUAUCGGAUGAACUGUGGAUAGGAGUGAAAGGCUAAUCAAGUCCGGAGAUAGCUGGUUCUCCUCGAAAGCUAUUUAGGUAGCGCCUCAUGUUUAACUCUGGGGGGUAGAGCACUGUUUCGGCUAGGGGGCCAUCCCGGCUUACCAAACCGAUGCAAACUCCGAAUACCCAGAAGUUCAAUCAUGGGAGACACACGGCGGGUGCUAACGUCCGUCGUGGAAAGGGAAACAACCCAGACCGCCAGCUAAGGUCCCCAAAUCAAAGCUAAGUGGGAAACGAAGUGGGAAGGCACAGACAGCCAGGAGGUUGGCUUAGAAGCAGCCACCCUUUAAAGAAAGCGUAAUAGCUCACUGGUCUAGUCGGCCCGCGCGGAAGAUUUAACGGGGCUCAAGCUUUGUACCGAAGCUGCGGAUGCAUAGAUUUAUCUAUGCAUGGUAGAGGAGCGUUCUGUAAGCCUGUGAAGGUGUGCUGCGAGGCAUGCUGGAGGUAUCAGAAGUGCGAAUGCUGACAUGAGUAACGAUAAUGCGAGUGAAAAACUCGCACGCCGAAAACCCAAGGAUUCCUGCGCAACGUUAAUCGGCGCAGGGUGAGUCGGCCCCUAAGGCGAGACCGAGAGGUGUAGUCGAUGGGAAACUGGUUAAUAUUCCAGUACUUGGUGUUACUGCGAUGGAGGGACGGAGAAGGCUAAAUCUACCGGGCGAUGGUUGUCCCGGGGAAAGUGUGUAGGCAGAGAGCUUAGGUAAAUCCGGGCUCUUAAUGCUGAGGCACGAUGACAACCGGUCUUUGUACCGGAAAGUGGUUGAUGCCAUGCUUCCAGGAAAAUCUUCUAAGCUUCAGGUAACACUAAACCGUACCGUAAACCGACACAGGUGGGUGGGGAGAGAAUCCUAAGGCGCUUGAGAAAACUCUGGUGAAGGAACUAGGCAAAUUGGUACCGUAACUUCGGGAGAAGGUACGCCCCUUUUGGUGAGGAGACUUGCUCUCCAAAGCUGAUGGGGGUUGCAAUGACCAGGUGGCUGCGACUGUUUACUAAAAACACAGCACUCUGCAAACACGAAAGUGGACGUAUAGGGUGUGACGCCUGCCCGGUGCCGGAAGGUUAAUUGAUGGGGUUAGCCUUCGGGCGAAGCUCUUGAUCGAAGCCCCGGUAAACGGCGGCCGUAACUAUAACGGUCCUAAGGUAGCGAAAUUCCUUGUCGGGUAAGUUCCGACC